CAGUAGCCGCGGUAAUACGAAGGGGGCUAGCGUUGUUCGGAAUUACUGGGCGUAAAGCGCACGUAGGCGGACAUUUAAGUCAGGGGUGAAAUCCCGGGGCUCAACCCAGGAACUGCCUUUGAUACUGGGUGUCUAGAGUAUGGAAGAGGUGAGUGGAAUUCCGAGUGUAGAGGUGAAAUUCGUAGAUAUUCGGAGGAACACCAGUGGCGAAGGCGGCUCACUGGUCCAUUACUGACGCUGAGGUGCGAAAGCGUGGGGAGCAAACAGGAUUAGAUACCCCAGUAGUCCCUGUCUCUUAUAC
Molecule: ribosomal RNA, 301 nt
Filed under: uncultured bacterium
Lineage: Bacteria
Description: partial 16S ribosomal RNA
Rfam family: Bacterial small subunit ribosomal RNA
Source: RNAcentral